GGUGGCUCGGGCCUAUUUAAAGUUUCUAUCAAAAGUUCCGUAUUUUUUUGUUAUUUUAUUCUUUACAGAAAAAAUAGGGGGUCACGGACCAUUUAAGCUCAAAAUUUUACUUUUAAACAGGUAUGUAAAAGGGACCAUUUUUCAAUGAAAUGAUAGGGAAAAUAGAGGUGUUGACAUAUUUUUAUCAGAAUAUCAAAAAAACGUUCUAUGACACUUAUUCCAAAACUGUAAUAUAAAAAGCUGAAAUAUAGCUUCAAAGAAUGAGCAAAUAAAAAACAUAGGUCACCGAUAAGGAACAAAAAAUAUUUUGCCUU
RNAcentral lists this long non-coding RNA (314 nucleotides) under Mytilus galloprovincialis (Mediterranean mussel). The record is from RNAcentral. Lineage: Eukaryota; Metazoa; Mollusca; Bivalvia; Mytilida; Mytilidae.